AGUGAACGCUGGCGGUAGGCCUAACACAUGCAAGUCGAACGGCAGCACAGAGGAGCUUGCUCCUUGGGUGGUGAGUGGCGGACGGGUGAGGAAUACAUCGGAAUCUACUCUGUCGUGGGGGAUAACGUAGGGAAACUUACGCUAAUACCGCAUACGACCUACGGGUGAAAGCAGGGGACCUUCGGGCCUUGCGCGAUUGAAUGAGCCUAUGUCGGAUUAGCUAGUUGGCGGGGUAAAGGCCCACCAAGGCGACGAUCCGUAGCUGGUCUGAGAGGAUGAUCAGCCACACUGGAACUGAGACACGGUCCAGACUCCUACGGGAGGCAGCAGUGGGGAAUAUUGGACAAUGGGCGCAAGCCUGAUCCAGCCAUACCGCGUGGGUGAAGAAGGCCUUCGGGUUGUAAAGCCCUUUUGUUGGGAAAGAAAUCCAGCUGGCUAAUACCCGGUUGGGAUGACGGUACCCAAAGAAUAAGCACCGGCUAACUUCGUGCCAGCAGCCGCGGUAA
This 506-nucleotide ribosomal RNA is filed under the name uncultured bacterium. RNAcentral's name for it is "partial 16S ribosomal RNA". It matches the Rfam family "Bacterial small subunit ribosomal RNA", at positions 29 to 523 of the family's 1533-position model. The record is from RNAcentral.